UCCCUACGGGAGGCUGCAGUGAGGAAUAUUGCGCAAUGGUCGCAAGACUGACGCAGCAACGCCGCGUGAGGGAUGAAGUACUUCGGUAUGUAAACCUCUGUUAGAAGGAAAGAACGGGUGGAUGUCGAACAGGCAUUCAUCGUGACGGUACCUUCAGAGAAAGCCCCGGCUAACUCCGUGCCAGCAGCCGCGGUAACACGGGGGGGGCAAGCGUUGUCCGGAAUUAUUGGGCGUAAAGGGCGCGUAGGUGGGAUAGCAAGUCUGAGGUGCAAUCUUACGGCUUAACUGUAAGCUUGCCUUGGAUACUACUAUUCUUGAGUUCGGAAGAGGGUAGUGGAAUUCCUGGUGUAGCGGUGAAAUGCGUAGAUAUCAGGAAGAACACCGGUGGCGAAGGCGGCUACCUGGUCCGAUACUGACACUGAGGCGCGAAAGUGCGGGGAGCAAACAGGAUUAGAUACCCCGGUAGUC
Molecule: ribosomal RNA, 468 nt
Filed under: uncultured bacterium
Lineage: Bacteria
Description: bacterial SSU rRNA
Rfam family: Bacterial small subunit ribosomal RNA
Source: RNAcentral